RNAcentral lists this ribosomal RNA (398 nucleotides) under uncultured bacterium. RNAcentral describes it as "bacterial SSU rRNA". It matches the Rfam family "Bacterial small subunit ribosomal RNA", at positions 30 to 409 of the family's 1533-position model. The record is from RNAcentral.
AUUGAACGCUGGCGGCAGGCCUAACACAUGCAAGUCGAGCGGUAACAGAACUAGCUUGCUAGUUGCUGACGAGCGGCGGACGGGUGCGUAACACGUAGGAAUCUGCCCGGUAGUGGGGAUAGCCCGGAGAAAUCCGGAUUAAUACCGCAUACGUCCUACUCUUUUUCGGAAGAGGGGGAAAGCAGGGGAAUCUUCGGAUCCUUGCGCUAUCGGAUGAGCCUGCGUCGGAUUAGCUAGUUGGUAGGGUAAAGGCCUACCAAGGCAACGAUCCGUAGCUGGUCUGAGAGGAUGAUCAGCCACACUGGGACUGAGACACGGCCCAGACUCCUACGGGAGGCAGCAGUGGGGAAUAUUGCACAAUGGGCGCAAGCCUGAUGCAGCCAUGCCGCGUGUGUGAA